GAAGGUCACGGCGAGACGAGCCGUUUAUCAUUACGAUAGGUGUCAAGUGGAAGUGCAGUGAUGUAUGCAGCUGAGGCAUCCUAACAGACCGGUAGACUUGAACCUUGUUCCUACAUGACCCGAUCAAUUCGAUCAGGCACUCGCCAUCUAUUUUCAUUGUUCAACUCUUUGACAACAUGAAAAAACCAAAAGCUCUGCCCUCCCCCUCUAUCUAUCCAAGGGAUGGAAGGGCAG
Molecule: ribosomal RNA, 234 nt
Filed under: Hippophae tibetana
Lineage: Eukaryota; Viridiplantae; Streptophyta; Magnoliopsida; Rosales; Elaeagnaceae
Description: 4.5S ribosomal RNA
Source: RNAcentral